GAGGGUAUAGCUCAGUGGUAGAACAUGUGCUUAGCAUGCAAGAGGUCCUGGGGUCAAUCCCUAGUACUUCCA
RNAcentral lists this transfer RNA (72 nucleotides) under Camelus bactrianus (Bactrian camel). It matches the Rfam family "tRNA". Rfam says of the family: Transfer RNA (tRNA) molecules are approximately 80 nucleotides in length. Their secondary structure includes four short double-helical elements and three loops (D, anti-codon, and T loops). Further hydrogen bonds mediate the characteristic L-shaped molecular structure. tRNAs have two regions of fundamental functional importance: the anti-codon, which is responsible for specific mRNA codon recognition, and the 3' end, to which the tRNAs corresponding amino acid is attached (by aminoacyl-tRNA synthetases). tRNAs cope with the degeneracy of the genetic code in two manners: having more than one tRNA (with a specific anti-codon) for a particular amino acid; and 'wobble' base-pairing, i.e. permitting non-standard base-pairing at the 3rd anti-codon position. The record is from Rfam by way of RNAcentral. RNAcentral also lists the same sequence under 2 other names. Lineage: Eukaryota; Metazoa; Chordata; Mammalia; Artiodactyla; Camelidae.